This 274-nucleotide ribosomal RNA is filed under the name uncultured bacterium. RNAcentral's name for it is "partial 16S ribosomal RNA". It matches the Rfam family "Bacterial small subunit ribosomal RNA", at positions 523 to 796 of the family's 1533-position model. The record is from RNAcentral.
AUACGGAGGGUGCAAGCGUUGUUCGGAAUCACUGGGCGUAAAGGGCGCGCAGGCGGUUUGGUAAGUCAGAUGUGAAAGCCCACGGCUCAACCGUGGAAGUGCAUUUGAAACUGUCAGACUUGAGUACUAGAGGGGAAAGUGGAAUUCCCGGUGUAGAGGUGAAAUUCGUAGAUAUCGGGAGGAAUACCGGUGGCGAAGGCGACUUUCUGGCUAGAUACUGACGCUGAGGCACGAAAGCGUGGGGAGCAAACAGGAUUAGAAACCCUAGUAGUCC